RNAcentral lists this ribosomal RNA (440 nucleotides) under uncultured bacterium. Its description in RNAcentral is "partial 16S ribosomal RNA". It matches the Rfam family "Bacterial small subunit ribosomal RNA", at positions 338 to 795 of the family's 1533-position model. The record is from RNAcentral.
CCUACGUGAGGCAGCAGUGGGGAAUAUUGGACAAUGGGGGGAACCCUGAUCCAGCGACGCCGCGUGAGUGAAGAAGUAUUUCGGUAUGUAAAGCUCUAUCAGCAGGGAAGAAAAUGACGGUACCUGACUAAGAAGCCCCGGCUAACUACGUGCCAGCAGCCGCGGUAAUACGUAGGGGGCAAGCUUUAUCCGGAUUUACUGGGUGUAAAGGGAGCGUAGACGGUGCAGCAAGUCUGAUGUGAAAGGUCGGGGCCCAACGCCGGGACUGCAAUUGAAACUGUUGAACUGGAGUGCAGGAGGGGUAAGCGGAAUGCCUGGUGUAGCGGUGAAAUGCGUAGAUAUUAGGAGGAACACCAGUGGCGAAGGCGGCUUACUGGACUGUAAUUGACGUUGAGGCUCGAAAGCGUGGGGAGCAAACAGGAUUAGAUACCCGGGUAGUC